GAUGAACGCUGGCGGCGUGCCUAAUACAUGCAAGUCGAGCGAACGGACGAGAAGCUUGCUUUUCUGAUGUUAGCGGCGGACGGGUGAGUAACACGUGGAUAACCUACCUAUAAGACUGGGAUAACUUCGGGAAACCGGAGCUAAUACCGGAUAAUAUUUUGAACCGCAUGGUUCAAAAGUGAAAGACGGUCUUGCCGUCACUUAUAGAUGGAUCCGCGCUGCAUUAGCUAGUUGGUAAGGUAACGGCUUACCAAGGCAACGAUGCAUAGCCGACCUGAGAGGGUGAUCGGCCACACUGGAACUGAGACACGGUCCAGACUCCUACGGGAGGCAGCAGUAGGGAAUCUUCCGCAAUGGGCGAAAGCCUGACGGAGCAACGCCGCGUGAGUGAUGAAGGUCUUCGGAUCGUAAAACUCUGUUAUUAGGGAAGAACAUAUGUGUAAGUAACUGUGCACAUCUUGACGGUACCUAAUCAGAAAGCCACGGCUAACUACGUGCCAGCAGCCGCGGUAAUACGUAGGUGGCAAGCGUUAUCCGGAAUUAUUGGGCGUAAAGCGCGCGUAGGCGGUUUUUUAAGUCUGAUGUGAAAGCCCACGGCUCAACCGUGGAGGGUCAUUGGAAACUGGAAAACUUGAGUGCAGAAGAGGAAAGUGGAAUUCCAUGUGUAGCGGUGAAAUGCGCAGAGAUGUGGAGGAACACCAGUGGCGAAGGCGACUUUCUGGUCUGUAACUGACGCUGAUGUGCGAAAGCGUGGGGAUCAAACAGGAUUAGAUACCCUGGUAGUCCACGCCGUAAACGAUGAGUGCUAAGUGUUAGGGGGUUUCCGCCCCUUAGUGCUGCAGCUAACGCAUUAAGCACUCCGCCUGGGGAGUACGACCGCAAGGUUGAAACUCAAAGGAAUUGACGGGGGCCCGCACAAGCGGUGGAGCAUGUGGUUUAAUUCGAAGCAACGCGAAGAACCUUACCAAAUCUUGACAUCCUUUGACAACUCUAGAGAUAGAGCCUUCCCCUUCGGGGGACAAAGUGACAGGUGGUGCAUGGUUGUCGUCAGCUCGUGUCGUGAGAUGUUGGGUUAAGUCCCGCAACGAGCGCAACCCUUAAGCUUAGUUGCCAUCAUUAAGUUGGGCACUCUAAGUUGACUGCCGGUGACAAACCGGAGGAAGGUGGGGAUGACGUCAAAUCAUCAUGCCCCUUAUGAUUUGGGCUACACACGUGCUACAAUGGACAAUACAAAGGGCAGCGAAACCGCGAGGUCAAGCAAAUCCCAUAAAGUUGUUCUCAGUUCGGAUUGUAGUCUGCAACUCGACUACAUGAAGCUGGAAUCGCUAGUAAUCGUAGAUCAGCAUGCUACGGUGAAUACGUUCCCGGGUCU
RNAcentral lists this ribosomal RNA (1372 nucleotides) under uncultured bacterium. RNAcentral describes it as "bacterial SSU rRNA". It matches the Rfam family "Bacterial small subunit ribosomal RNA", at positions 28 to 1381 of the family's 1533-position model. The record is from RNAcentral.